RNAcentral lists this ribosomal RNA (492 nucleotides) under uncultured bacterium. RNAcentral's name for it is "partial 16S ribosomal RNA". It matches the Rfam family "Bacterial small subunit ribosomal RNA", at positions 28 to 507 of the family's 1533-position model. The record is from RNAcentral.
GAUGAACGCUAGCUACAGGCUUAACACAUGCAAGUCGAGGGGAAACGGCAUCGAAAGCUUGCUUUUGAUGGGCGUCGACCGGCGCACGGGUGAGUAACGCGUAUCCAACCUGCCCAUCACUUGGGAAUAACCUUGCGAAAGUAAGACUAAUGCCCAAUGACAUCCCACGAAGGCAUCCGAAUGGGAUUAAAGAUUUAUCGGUGAUGGAUGGGGAUGCGUCUGAUUAGCUUGUUGGCGGGGUGACGGCCCACCAAGGCAACGAUCAGUAGGGGUUCUGAGAGGAAGGUCCCCCACAUUGGAACUGAGACACGGUCCAAACUCCUACGGGAGGCAGCAGUGAGGAAUAUUGGUCAAUGGGCGAGAGCCUGAACCAGCCAAGUAGCGUGCAGGAUGACGGCCCUAUGGGUUGUAAACUGCUUUUAGAAGGGAAUAAAGUGGGUCACGUGUGACUUUUUGCAUGUACCUUAUGAAUAAGGACCGGCUAAUUCCGCG